CGCGCUCGGGUGACACCUCCGGAAAAACGAUAGUCUCAUCACCGGAGGGCUGAUACGGCGUCAACUGUCGGUCCGAGCCCGCGGCGUCCCCCUGAUCGAUGGGCCCGGACCCGUCUGUCGGCGUCGGAGUCGCCUGCUGGCGGGGCUUCUUCGCCGGUGGGACCCCGCUCGGAGGAGUCCGUUUCUUCCUCCGGACCGCUUCCAGUAGGGACGCCCUACUAACAGCCAUUGCCUUGUCCGACUGCAUGACGUCGUCGAUUUCUGCAAAAAGGACGAGUAUGGUUAGAAACUAAGAAACCGAUGGAAAGAAGAAAGGAAAGAGGAGAAAAGAGCUAAAAAAGAAGAAGUGGUGGCGGGCUCACGGUCGGCGGGGACCGAGCUCAGACCGACGUUCACCAAGGCAUCCUCGGAAAUAAGGCUAGCCACCGG
This 429-nucleotide long non-coding RNA is filed under the name Phoenix dactylifera (date palm). RNAcentral's name for it is "long non-coding RNA (PDAC_LNC011661)". Lineage: Eukaryota; Viridiplantae; Streptophyta; Magnoliopsida; Arecales; Arecaceae. The record is from RNAcentral.